GUGGGGAAUAUUGGACAAUGGGCGAAAGCCUGAUCCAGCCAUGCCGCGUGUGUGAAGAAGGUCUUCGGAUUGUAAAGCACUUUAAGUUGGGAGGAAGGGCAGUAAGUUAAUACCUUGCUGUUUUGACGUUACCGACAGAAUAAGCACCGGCUAACUUCGUGCCAGCAGCCGCGGUAAUACGAAGGGUGCAAGCGUUAAUCGGAAUUACUGGGCGUAAAGCGCGCGUAAGUGGUUUUGUAAGUUGGAGGUGAAAUCCCCGGGCUCAACCUGGGAACUGCCUCCAAAAAUGCAUGACUAGAGUACGGUAGAGGGUAGUGGAAUUUCCUGUGUAGCGGUGAAAUGCGUAGAUAUAGGAAGGAACACCAGUGGCGAAGGCGACUACCUGGACUGAUACUGACACUGAGGUGCGAAAGCGUGGGGAGCAAACAGGAUUAGAUACCCCUGUAGUCC
RNAcentral lists this ribosomal RNA (450 nucleotides) under uncultured bacterium. RNAcentral describes it as "partial 16S ribosomal RNA". It matches the Rfam family "Bacterial small subunit ribosomal RNA", at positions 354 to 796 of the family's 1533-position model. The record is from RNAcentral.